CCCUCUGUCUCUCUCAGUUACAUCUUCAGGCUGAGCUGUACGCGGCUGGGCCAGUGGGCCAUCGGCUAUGUGACCAACGAUGGCAACAUCCUGCAGACCAUCCCCCACAACAAACCGCUGUUCCAGGCCCUCAUCGAUGGUUACAGGGAGGGCUUCUACUUGUUCCCUGAUGGUCGCAGCUACAACCCUGACCUCACUGGUUUAUGUGAGCCGACGCCUCAUGAUCACAUCAAA
Non-coding RNA from Plectropomus leopardus (leopard coralgrouper), 234 nucleotides. Lineage: Eukaryota; Metazoa; Chordata; Actinopteri; Perciformes; Serranidae. The record is from RefSeq and is a predicted model, not a curated record.